Molecule: RNA transcript, 2157 nt
Organism: Eucalyptus grandis
Lineage: Eukaryota; Viridiplantae; Streptophyta; Magnoliopsida; Myrtales; Myrtaceae
Gene name: trihelix transcription factor GT-3b
Exons: 3
Source: RefSeq, a predicted model, not a curated record
UUCUUUUUUCUCUCUCUCUCUCCUCACCACCAAAUUCCAUCCUUCUGGUGCAAGCAUUCUUGAUUUCGCCCUAUUAAUAUGGAAGGGCAAUUUUCGCAUCACCACCACCAUCACCAGCACCUUCUUCAACAGCAGCAGCAGCUUCGACCGCAGCCGCUGCCACAGCAACAGCAGCAGCAAAGUGUCAGCAUCGAAACCGGCAGCGACAGGUUCCCGCAAUGGAGCGUCCAGGAGACGAAGGAGUUCUUGAUGAUACGGGCCGACCUCGACCGGCGCUUCAUGGAGACGAAGCGAAACAAGCAACUGUGGGAGGUCAUAUCGACCGGGAUGAGGGACAAGGGCUUCAACCGGAGCGCCGAGCAGUGCAAGUGCAAGUGGAAGAACCUCGUCACUCGAUAUAAGGGUUGCGAGACGAUGGAACCAGAAGCCAUGAGGCAACAGUUCCCGUAUUACAAUGAGAUGCAAGCGAUUUUCGAAGCGAGGAUGCAAAGAAUGCUGUGGGCCGAAACAGAAGGAGGUGGAGGUGCAGGAAGCACCUCAAAGAGCAAGAAAGCAUCUUCUUCCCAGUUGUCUUCUGAAGAUGAUGGCGAUGAUGAGGACAGUGAGGGUGAGAAGGGAAAGAAGAAAAAGAAGGCCAAGGGCAACGCUGGCACGAGCAACAGCAGCGGCGGGAGCAGUAGCGAAGUAAGGAAGAUAUUGGAGGAGUUCAUGAAGCAACAGGUACGGAUGGAGGCGGACUGGAGGGAGGCGUAUGAGGCGCGGGAGAACGAGAGAAGGGUGAAGGAGAUGGAGUGGAGGCAGACAAUGGAGUCUCUAGAGAAUGAGAGGAUAAUGAUGGACAGGAGGUGGAGAGAGAGGGAAGAGCAGAGGAGGAUGAGAGAGGAGGCUAGGGCUGAGAAGAGAGACGCUCUUAUCACAGCACUUCUCAACAAGCUUAGAAGAGAAGAUCACAAUAUGUAACUCUCUCUCUCUCUCUCUCCUCCCUCUUCCUAAUUACGGAGAUAAUGAUGAAGAAGAAGCUUCCUCACGAGCAUAUCAUGAGAACUCCAUGUUGAAGAUCGAAUUUGGCCUCCAAUUUUGAGACAACACAAGCAUUUGGGUAUGAUAACAAGUAGAUAGCUCAUGUUAUGUGUUUGCUGACUUCUGGCAUCUUAUGCUGAUAAUGGAAACAACCCCUUUAUGGACUUAGAAGCUACGAAUCUUGAAUAUGUCAUUGGGGAUCUCUCGUUCUAGAUAAUCACUCUCCUGAUUUUUGGUGUCAUUACAAUUUUGCCUACUUUUCCACGCAAUUAAAUCCCUCUGUCACAACCGUUGUUAGCAACCUCAAACAACUGACAUGGCAUGUUUGGAUUGCCCACGGUGCCAACGAUGCCACAUUAUCGAGAUAAGUGUUUACCACCCUUAUCAUGGGGGGAUUGAACUAGGGUUCGCCGUUUUCACUAGUGUUCAGUGAUUCAAUAUGAGUUGCCAAGUCUUGAUGAUGGCUGGGUAGCUACGGUUGAGCUAGGGCUAGCCAUGUGGAAUCGUCAUGGUGUUAACGAGAGGUCACAUUGGUGAAGUUAAAAAUAAAAAUUGAAUUGAGCUAGGGUUUGCUACCCCAACUAGUACUAUCCAACGACUCAAUGCGAGUCAUCAACUCUCUCGGGGGCUGGGAAUCCAAUACGGAAACGCAUCACCUAGCUGCUGCUCCUUUUCUCUUAUCUCUAAUAAAAAGAAAAACUUCUCUCACGUCUUUUUUUAUUUGACGAUGGCAAGAGCCAGUUGAUCCUUCGUUGAAGAUUAUUUGCGGGACGCAGCUAGGGUUUUGCUAUCCUCUUUAAUGUCCAACGCCUUGCAACACGAGUCAUGAGGCAUCAUCAACCCUCUGCGAACCUAUGACUUCGGCCAAGGUUUGUCAUGUGGGAUUGUCAUUGUGGCAAUUGGACGCUACAUUAGCAAAAUAGGACAAAAGAAGAGGAAGAAUAAAGGGCGGAAGUAGGGAGUCGGUGAGGUGAGUUGAAGUGAGGUCCACUAUCCUUAUCACCGACAAAUGGGAUGGUGGAUCGAUCCUUCAGUGAAAUUUGCAUGAGAAAUUUAGCUGGGGCUUGCUACCCUCAACUAGUCCUCCACCAUUUCCAUUUGACUUUCUUGAGUUUCUCUCUCCCUCUCCCUCUCUCU